GUAGGGAAUAUUGCACAAUGGGGGAAACCCUGAUGCAGCGACGCCGCGUGAGUGAUGAAGGCCUUCGGGUCGUAAAGCUCUGUCGUAUGGGACUAACACAAUGAAGGUACCAUGCAAGAAAGGAUCGGCUAACUUCGUGCCAGCAGCCGCGGUAAGACGAGGGAUCCUAGCGUUGUUCGGAAUCAUUGGGCGUAAAGCGGGUGUAGGCGGAUUUAUAAGUCAGGUGUGAAAUCCCAGGGCUCAACCCUGGAAGUGCACUUGAUACUGUAAAUCUUGAGUGUGGUAGAGGUUACUGGAAUUGUUGGUGUAGUGGUGAAAUACGUAGAUAUCAACAGGAAUACCGGAGGCGAAGGCGAGUAACUGGGCCAACACUGACGCUGAGACCCGAAAGCGUGGGGAUCAAACAGGAUUAGAUACCCGUGUAGUCC
RNAcentral lists this ribosomal RNA (428 nucleotides) under uncultured bacterium. RNAcentral describes it as "bacterial SSU rRNA". It matches the Rfam family "Bacterial small subunit ribosomal RNA", at positions 354 to 796 of the family's 1533-position model. The record is from RNAcentral.